RNAcentral lists this unclassified non-coding RNA (247 nucleotides) under Glomeraceae sp. RNAcentral's name for it is "partial contains 5.8S ribosomal RNA and internal transcribed spacer 2". The stretch from base 1 to 71 matches the Rfam family "5.8S ribosomal RNA", at positions 84 to 154 of the family's 154-position model. Lineage: Eukaryota; Fungi; Glomeromycota; Glomeromycetes; Glomerales; Glomeraceae. The record is from RNAcentral.
GUGAAUCAUCGAAUUUUUGAACGCAAAUUGCACUCCCUGGUAUUCCAGAGAGUAUGCCUGUUUGAGGGCCAGUUUAAAUAUCAAUCGGUGUGGUUGCUUCCUCUUGUGGUGACGCAUCGGAUUUGGGCUGUCUUGCCUUCGGUUAAGUGCCAUAAAAUUUUGCAUGAAUUUUUCGAACGUAUUUCACUGAUUUUACGUACGUUUGACAUAUCGAAUCCUAGGUGCGGUUAUCCUCAUGAUUUGCGCU